AAAAGUAAGCAAAAUUUAAUCAGAAAAGAGGGUAAGGUGUCUCUGAAAUCAAAACACAGAAAACCAAAGUUAAUUUACCAGUGUGUGUUAAAAAAAUAGUUGCACUCAAAUUAUCUCAUUUGAAUUAUUUCAGGGUUUUAACUCUCCUUAAAAUACACAGUAAAACUGUGUGUUCGGUGUGCACAUAUAUUUAGUAAUCUUUUGGUAGUGACCACUAUAGUCAAUACAGUUUAUAGUUCACUGGAUUCUUGCAUCACUAAUUGUGGGGAAAUUACUAGGAAUCCACCUUCAGUUUGCGGAUAACUCACUGAAUCCGUGUAGAAAUAUCAGGUUCUUUGGAAUUUUGGAACACUGAGCAAUUCAUUCUUUUUUUUUUUUUUUUUUUUUUUUGUCUUUUUGCCUUUUCUUGGGCCGCUCCCUGCAUACGGAGAUUCUCUGGCUAGGAAGUGAAAUGGAGUUGCAGCUACUGGCCUAAGCCACAGCCACAGUGACACCAGAUCUGAGCUGUAUCUGCAGCCUACACCACAGCUCAUGGUUAUGCUGGAUCCUUAAGCCACUGAGCAAGGCCAGGGAUUGAACCCACCCACAUCCUCAUGGAUAAUAGUCAGGUUCAUUACUAGGGAAGAUGAUGAAUCUGAUUUGGGGUGAGUCCAUAUCCAGCAGAGCCAAAAUUUCUUACAUAAGUAUACAUUGUAAUUUAAUUUUCAAUAGAAUUUGAAUUUGUUCAACACAGUAGUUCUCAGCAAAGGGAGAUCGUGCCUCUCAGAAUAUAUGGGAAUGUCUGGGGACAUUUUGGGUAACUUGGGGAGGGGCUGCUCCGCUACUGACAUCUAGUGAGUAGAGGCCGAGGAUGCUGCUAAACAGCCUAUGGUGAGCAGGAUAGUCCAGCGAAUUAUCCAGCCCCAAAGGUCAGUAGUGCUGAUGUUGAGAAACCAUGCGGUAACAAUCCAAUAGUUCAAAUUCCAAGAAUGGUAAAGCUUGGUCUAUUUCAGGUUCGACAGUGCCAUCUAGUGGCCAAAUAUAAUAUUUAUCCUAGUUCUGUGUUGAACACUGUUAAGACAACAGAUAAAAAAUAUUGAGAAAGCUAAGAUAUACAGAGAUGAAUCUCUCAUGGGAUAGCUGUCUAUAGUUGAAAUUAAUAUAUGUGACAAGGAGGUUUGGUGUCUGACUGUGGAAAAGCAAUCCUGCAGUUGGAAAGUGGUCUUUGGUUAUGAAGAGAUUUGAUAAUAGAAGCCAAUAUGGAAACAACACUUUUUACAGGAUGGAUUCUGCAUGGAAUGCAUUCUAUUUCAUAAUAGUUGCCUACACUUUUACUAUUAUUCCUGCACGCAUAAGAAAAGAAAAAAUAAUUCUGCUAAAUAACUGGUUGAAAUCUUUACGUCUUAGGGAUGUCACAUAUGGUAUUUUAUGAAAUAAAGAUUGAAAAUAAUGAAGAUGAUUUGAGUCAUGAAAAAUAUAUAAUGAAGACCACAGAAACUUCUCUUUGAUAAAGAAUAGAUUUUUGCCCCCAAAGCAGCACUCGACAUGCCUUAUCUCACCUCCCCCACUAGAUCGUAAGCUCCCUUCAGGCAGGGACUAUGUUUUAUUUGUGUAUGGACUAUAGUCUCCAGCAUGGCAUCUUAUACAGAGUAGACACACAAAUGAUUUUUUGAGUGAAUGAAUUUAUUUUUGUACCGGAAAUCCUUGCCUUGAAGUGAAGAAAGUCUCAAGCCUUUCUAAGCAAUUACUAUUUGUUCACUUAUGUAAGAUACCAGCUGAGGGUGCCUGGCUCAGAGAACACCAGAGACUUGAGCACAGAGAGUUGUUAACAGACACUCUCAUUCAUCUCCCUGGUGAAUCUGGAGCAAACUGUGCUGUGAUGACCAUUCCUGGGGUAAAUUUUUGACUGGUGCAUGCAUUGUAGAUUCUCUGAUAUAAGAUUUAUUCACCCAGCAAAUAUUUAUUGAAUGUCUGCUUUGUGCAAAGCACUCUUCCAGGUAUUGGGAUAUCACAGUGAACGAAAGUCUAAAAAUUCCUUAAGCGGAGAGGCAGGUUUUUAAUUGCUGGGUUAGAAUAAAGAUGCACAUUCCCUGUUCCUCCCAUUUUCUCAGUUAGCAUAAUAUUUUCUGUAUAUAAAAUGCAAUUUGACUAAUGAUCUCAAAGCAGUUCACAACUAUGAAAGACCUCUCCUUCUACAACCACUGCUUUGCUCGGGCAAAUGGAAAAAAAAACAACAAACACACAACAACACGCUCCCAUCACUUCUCUCCUUGUUUGCAUCUCUUCAUUCCUCACUGCUUCAUAUACUUGCAGACUUUUGGGGAUGAGGGAGAAACAGGAGAGUCAAUAUUCUGUGAGCAGUUGAUGUCGAUGACUAUUUUGCAAGUGGCAACUGAAGCUAGUAAUUUUAAAAGUGACCCUGCAGAAGAUUUCUUUCUGGUUGGUUUAUUACAACCCUUUAGUUCUAGCAUCUAGGGAUAUACAAAGUCAGAAAAAAAAAAAAAAAA
This 2486-nucleotide long non-coding RNA is filed under the name Sus scrofa (pig). RNAcentral's name for it is "lncRNA (ENSSSCG00000062491.1)". Lineage: Eukaryota; Metazoa; Chordata; Mammalia; Artiodactyla; Suidae. The record is from RNAcentral.